GUCCUGGUCGAUUAGUGGUCAAAUCAUCUCGUUGUGGUUUAUCGCUCCGAGAAGCCGAGGGCUCGACUCCCUCCCGGGACA
Non-coding RNA from Marasmius oreades (fairy-ring Marasmius), 81 nucleotides. Lineage: Eukaryota; Fungi; Basidiomycota; Agaricomycetes; Agaricales; Marasmiaceae. The record is from the annotation of a RefSeq genome assembly.